This 217-nucleotide long non-coding RNA is filed under the name Capsella rubella. RNAcentral describes it as "long non-coding RNA (CRUB_LNC000901)". The record is from RNAcentral. Lineage: Eukaryota; Viridiplantae; Streptophyta; Magnoliopsida; Brassicales; Brassicaceae.
GAGGUGAAGCUUUCAGAUUCAGAACAGGAAUCAAGCUUGUAGCAGUAAAAUCAACCCGAAAACCAUCCAUUUUUGGCAAGUUUGGACUGUCGUGACGAGGAGUGUCGAUCGACACCAUGGUGGUGUCGCUCGACACUGAGCCCGGUGCUCGUGUUUCUGCACUUUUUAUGCAAUUCGUCUCAGCGAUCCUCAUCUCUAUCACAAAAACGUCAUCCUC